AAGAUAUGAUGUAGUGAUACCGCCCCAGUCUGACUUUAAUCUGACUGAUUGGUAACUCUCUGAUCUA
Tachysurus vachellii is the source of this 67-nucleotide small nucleolar RNA. The record is from RefSeq and is a predicted model, not a curated record. Lineage: Eukaryota; Metazoa; Chordata; Actinopteri; Siluriformes; Bagridae.